RNAcentral lists this ribosomal RNA (474 nucleotides) under Lepyrus capucinus. RNAcentral describes it as "partial 16S ribosomal RNA". It matches the Rfam family "Bacterial large subunit ribosomal RNA", at positions 1826 to 2566 of the family's 2925-position model. Lineage: Eukaryota; Metazoa; Arthropoda; Insecta; Coleoptera; Curculionidae. The record is from RNAcentral.
CUUUUUGAGAAUAAUUUAAGGUCUAACCUGCCCAAUGAGGAUUUUAAAUGGCCGCAGUAUAUUGACUGUGCAAAGGUAGCAUAAUCAUUAGUUUUUUAAUUGAGAGCUUGUAUGAAGGGUUGAAUGAGAAAGUGGCUGUCUCUGUUUAAAUUUAUUAGAAUUUUUUUUUUAAGUUAAAAAACUUAAAUGUUUAUGGAAGACGAGAAGACCCUAUAGAGUUUAAUAUUUUUUAAAUCAGGAUUUUUAGUAUUAUAGUUCUUGCUUGAAGGGAGUAUUUAGUUGGGGUGAUUAAAAAAUUUAUAGAACUUUUUUAAAAUAUAAGCAUUUAUUUAUGAUUAUUUGAUCCUUUAUUGAAGAUUAAUAGAUAAAAUUACCUUAGGGAUAACAGCGUUAUUUUUUUUUAGAGUUCUAAUCGAAAAAAAAGAUUGCGACCUCGAUGUUGGAUUAAAAUUAAUUUUUGGUGUAGAAGCUGGA